GAUCCUGGCUCAGGAUGAACGCUAGCUACAGGCUUAACACAUGCAAGUCGAGGGGCAGCAUUGGAGUAGCAAUACUACAGAUGGCGACCGGCGCACGGGUGAGUAACACGUAUCCAACCUGCCGCUUACUCGGGGAUAGCCUUUACGAAAGAAAGAUUAAUACCCGAUGGUAUAAAGAGUUCGCAUGUUCUCUUUAUUAAAGAAUUUCGGUAAGCGAUGGGGAUGCGUUCCAUUAGAUUGUUGGCGGGGUAACGGCCCACCAAGUCUACGAUGGAUAGGGGUUCUGAGAGGAAGGUCCCCCCACAUUGGAACUGAGACACGGUCCAAACUCCUACGGGAGGCAGCAGUGAGGAAUAUUGGUCAAUGGACGCGAGUCUGAACCAGCCAAGUAGCGUGAAGGAUGACUGCCCUAUGGGUUGUAAGCUUCUUUUAUAAGGGAAUAAAGUGAGGGACGUGUCCCUUUUUGUAUGUACCUUAUGAAUAAGGAUCGGCUAACUCCGUGCCAGCAGCUGC
Molecule: ribosomal RNA, 513 nt
Filed under: uncultured bacterium
Lineage: Bacteria
Description: bacterial SSU rRNA
Rfam family: Bacterial small subunit ribosomal RNA
Source: RNAcentral